Molecule: ribosomal RNA, 1446 nt
Filed under: Triticum aestivum (bread wheat)
Lineage: Eukaryota; Viridiplantae; Streptophyta; Magnoliopsida; Poales; Poaceae
Description: partial small subunit ribosomal RNA
Source: RNAcentral
AUGGCGCCCGUGGAGACGGAGAAAUCCAUUACUCUUCCACGAACACACGUUGUUCUCGUCCCGCUCAUGGGGCAGGGCCACACCACCCCCAUGGCCGACCUUGCGUGCCUCAUUGCGGGACGCGGCGUGCGAGUGAGCCUCGUCACCACGCCCGUCAACGCUGCGCGCCUGCGGGGACUAGCCGACAGGGCGCGGAGCGCCAUGUUGCCGCUGGAAAUUGUCGAGCUCCCAUUCCCGCCGGCUGACGACGGGCUGCCCCGGGGCAGCAGCGACAAUAGCGACAAUGUCCUCCAAUUGUUCCUGUCCCUCUAUAGGCUAGCCGGGCCACUCGAGGCGUACGUGCGCUCGCUGCCCUGGCGCCCCAGCUGCAUCAUCUCCGACUCCUGCAACCCGUGGACGGUCGGCGUCGCCAGGAGCGUUGGGGUCCCUCGGCUCACCUUCACCGGCCCUUCCUGUUUCUACUCGCUCUGCGACUUCAACGUCGUAAAGCACGGGCUUCUUCACAGCGGCAACGUCGUGCCGGGCAUGCCGGUGCGAGUGGAGUUGAGCAAGGACACAUGGGCCGCUGCCUUCUUAACUUGCAUGCCUGCGUGGGGGAAGUUCGUGGAGGAGGUGAGAGAGGGCAUCCGCACGGCCGACGGUGCCGUGGUGAACACGUUCCGGGGCCUUGAGGAACAGUUCGUCGCAUGCUACGAGGCAGCGUUGGGCAAGCCGGUGUGGGUGCUCGGGCCCUUCUUCCUCAAUAGCCGGGACGAGGAGGCACGCACCAUAGACCAGAGCACAGUCAUCGCUUGGCUGGACAUGAUGGACCAAAGCACGGUCGUCUAUGUCUGUUUCGGCAGCCUCGCGCAGAUGCUUCCCAAGCAGCUGUACGAGAUCGGACACGGCCUCGAGGACUCUGGGAAGCCAUUCCUUUGGGUGGUGAAGGAGUCCGAGACGGUUUUGCCAGAAGCAAAAGAGUGGCUCGAAGCCCUCGAGAUGCGCACGGCAGGGCAUGGGCUCAUAGUGCAUGGCUGGGCGCCUCAGGUCGCCAUCCUGUCACACCGCGCCGUAGGUGGCUUCAUGACCCACUGCGGGUGGAACUCGCUGCUGGAGUCCGUCGCGCAAGGCGUGCCUGUCAUGACGUGGCCUCACUUCGGUGACCAGUUCCUCAAUGAGCGGCUUGCGGUGGACGUACUUGGCGUCGGCGUGCCAGUUAGGCCGUUCGAUGGCGAAAAGGCCGUGGACCUUGUAGUGCGGGGGCACAUUGCGCGAGCAGUGUCGGAGCUGAUGGGCGAUGGGGCAGUGGCAGAGGAGAGGAGGAGAAAGUGCAAGGAGUACCGGGAGAGAGCUCACGGAGCCAUGGCCAAAGGAGGCUCGUCGCAUGGAAACCUGACACUGCUAUUACGCAGCUUCAUGCGGAGUGGCAGCAAGGAACAGGUUAAUUCCGUUUGCUCUGCUAGGUGA